ACGUAGGUGGCAAGCGUUGUCCGGAAUCACUGGGCGUAAAGCGCGCGCAGGCGGCUGCGUAAGCCGGUCGUGAAAUCCCCGGGCUUAACCUGGGAAUUGCGAUCGGGACUGUGCGGCUAGAGUGUUGGAGAGGGCAGCGGAAUUCCAGGUGUAGCGGUGAAAUGCGUAGAUAUCUGGAGGAACAUCAGUGGCGAAGGCGGCUGCCUGGCCAAACACUGACGCUCAGGUGCGAAAGCGUGGGGAGCAAACAGGA
This 253-nucleotide ribosomal RNA is filed under the name uncultured prokaryote. RNAcentral's name for it is "partial 16S ribosomal RNA". It matches the Rfam family "Bacterial small subunit ribosomal RNA", at positions 525 to 777 of the family's 1533-position model. The record is from RNAcentral.